This is a long non-coding RNA of Eptesicus fuscus (big brown bat), 666 nucleotides long. RefSeq lists it as uncharacterized. NCBI's taxonomy places the organism in Eukaryota, Metazoa, Chordata, Mammalia, Chiroptera, Vespertilionidae. The transcript has 3 exons. The record is from RefSeq and is a predicted model, not a curated record.
GCGGAUUUCUGCCUGUCCGAGAUAUAUGGGGAGACCGAAAGCUAGCCACAGGCACCUGGCAGUGCGUGUCUGUGUCUUCCCAAGAAGAGCUGGGACUGAAAUUUCCUGGUAGAGACGCACUUUAAAGAUGGCCCGGCUUCAAGCACCAGCUGUAUGUGCAUUGAAUUAUGAAUCCCAGAAUUAACUAACCCGGAGCUGACUGGUUGACUAAGUGGGCUCCGGACCCUCCAGUGCUCCCUGGAGUCCGAAUGCUUCCAGAAAUAGGCGAUUGUGUCAGUAUCCGGGCAGGUCUCUGAGAUUUUCUUUGCCAUAUGUUCUCUUUGCCACUGUCAUAUAAGUGGAAGCAAAUAAAGGAGAACAAAUAAAGGAGCCGACGUCUGUAAGGGAUGCAAGAUGAUGAAGUGGUGACUGGAAGGAACAGCUACAUAUACUUCCAUGAGGCAUUAAUAACAUCAUCUAAUCCCUCUGGUUUGGUUACAUUCACCUUUUUAAGCCAGAAAUUAUAUUAAUAAUCGUCUUAAUAAACUUUAUAGCCCUGACCAGAUAACUCAGUUGGUUAGAGCAUCAAACCUGAUAUGUUAAAGUUGCAGGUUUGAUCCUGGUCAGGGCCCAUAACCAAUGAAUGUAUAAAUAAGUGAAACAACAAAUCUCUCUCUCUCUCUAAAA